Molecule: ribosomal RNA, 771 nt
Filed under: uncultured Neocallimastigales
Lineage: Eukaryota; Fungi; Neocallimastigomycota; Neocallimastigomycetes; Neocallimastigales
Description: partial large subunit ribosomal RNA
Rfam family: Eukaryotic large subunit ribosomal RNA
Source: RNAcentral
UCAGACGAUGCGUCAUGCAUAUCAAUAAGCGGAGGAAAAGAAACUAACAAGGAUUCCCUCAGUAACGGCGAGUGAAGCGGGAAGAGCUCAAAUUUGAAAUCUUGAAAGGUCACCUUUCACGAAUUGUAGUUUAAAGAAGUGUUUUCUGUUACGAUCGUAAUAUAAGUUCUUUGGAAUAGGACAUCACAGAGGGUGAGAAUCCCGUCUAUGAUUGCGAUUUGUAGCUUUGUGAUACACUUUCAAAGAGUCGGGUUGUUUGGGAAUGCAGCCCAAAACGGGAGGUAAAUUUCUUCUAAGGCUAAAUAUUGGCGAGAGACCGAUAGCGAACAAGUACCGUGAGGGAAAGAUGAAAAGAACUUUGAAAAGAGAGUUAAAUAGUACGUGAAAUUGUCAAAAGGGAAGCGUUUAACACCAGUGUUGUUUUCUGAAAAUCAACCUCUGUUAGCUUUAUGCAUGUUUGUUUAGACCUAAUCAGCUAUCUUGCAUGUUCUAUUGUUUGCAGUGGUGCACUUUUCAGUUUACAGGUCAACAUCAGUUUUUUUUACCGUAAAAAAGUUAAAGAAAGGUAGCUCAUGGCUCCGGUCGUGAGUGUUAUAGUCUUUUUCCUAUGCGGUAGGAGAGACUGAGGUCUGCAGUGUAGGCUAUUUGGCUAGAUACUCAGGUGCUAUGUGAUACCAUUUCAUAAACAACUUGUUGAUUAUGUUCUGUCUAUUGCAUACUCGCUUGUACUAUCAUACCUACGCUUAGGAUGUUGAAGACUCUACAGAGAUA